Molecule: small RNA, 167 nt
Filed under: uncultured Enterocloster sp.
Lineage: Bacteria; Bacillati; Bacillota; Clostridia; Lachnospirales; Lachnospiraceae
Description: Clostridiales-1 RNA
Rfam family: Clostridiales-1 RNA
Source: RNAcentral
GAUACUAGGGUAAAAAGGUCUAAAAUCCGUUGCAAGCUUGCUUGCAGGAGGAUUUUUGAACUUGGGAGCCGCCAAAAACAUGAGUAAGGAGCCAUUUUUUGAAGAAAAAUGAGCGGAUUACGAAUGUUUUUAGAAUUGCGGGAGUGUAAAGCACGUAGCAAUUCGGU